GCGGCGGGAGGGGCAGGAGGAGGAGGAGGAGGAGGUGUCAUGGCGGCGGCGGGCGCGGGCUCCUCGGCGCGGGGCGGCGGCGGCUCCUCCACCGCGUCACGCUGGUUCUUCAGCCGGGAGCAGCUGGAGAACACGCCCUCCCGGCGCUGCGGCGUGGAGGCCGACAAGGAGCUCUCGUACCGGCAGCAGGCGGCCAACCUCAUUCAAGAUAUGGGCCAGCGCCUCAACGUAUCUCAGCUUACGAUAAAUACUGCAAUUGUUUACAUGCACAGGUUUUAUAUGCAUCAUUCCUUCACAAAAUUUAAUCGAAAUAUAAUAUCUCCUACAGCAUUGUUUUUGGCUGCAAAAGUGGAAGAACAGCCACGGAAACUUGAACAUGUUAUUAAAGUAGCACAUGCCUGUCUUCAUCCUCAAGAGCCACAACUGGAUACAAAGAGUGAUGCAUAUCUUCAGCAAGCCCAAGAGCUGGUUAUACUUGAAACAAUAAUGCUUCAAACUUUAGGUUUUGAGAUUACCAUUGAACAUCCACACACAGAUGUUGUGAAAUGUACGCAAUUAGUGAGAGCAAGCAAGGAUUUGGCACAGACAUCCUAUUUCAUGGCUACCAACAGGUUGUUAUCCUGAACCUCUUUGUUGCACUGUUGUAGCACACUAUAGCUUCCUUUACUGCAGGGCCCCCGACAUGUGUCUUACCCUUGUUGCACCAGGCGACUGGGCCAUCUCCAGUGGUGGUACCUUCCUGGGUGCAGUGCGGUGUAUUGGACAAGGGUCUGAUGGCACAAAGGGGUUAAAUGCACGAUGAGAAGUGUAGUGGUGCUUUCUGAUGGCAUUUUUCUCGAUUGUGAGUGCAUAAGUCUAAAAUUGGUAGCCUGAAUAGCAGCUAAAGAUUACAAAGAGCUAAACUUAACCUAGAAAUUCGAGCAUCUUGCCUUCACCUUACUACAUUCUGUCUUCAGUACAAGCCCACAGUGAUAGCAUGUGUGUGCAUUCACUUGGCCUGCAAGUGGUCCAACUGGGAGAUUCCAGUAUCAACUGAUGGAAAACACUGGUGGGAAUACGUAGAUCCUUCAGUUACUCUAGAAUUACUAGAUGAGCUAACUCAUGAGUUUCUACAGAUACUGGAGAAAACACCGAGCAGGCUCAAGAGAAUUAGAAAUUGGCGGGCUAAUCAAGCUGCUAGGAAACCUAAAGGUGAUGGACAGGUAUCUGAGAACUCACUUCUUGGUUCAUCUUUGGUCCAGAAUUCCAUUUUGGUGGAUACGGUUACUGGUGUAGCUGCAAACACGAGUUUCCCAAAACCAUCAACAUCAUUUCCUGCACCGGUACCUCUGACCUCAGGAAGUAUUUCUGUUCCAGACAGUCAUGCACCUGAAAAUUUGGCAAUACUAGCUACAGGAAUGCCAAGUACCUCAUACAGUUUGGCAUCACACCAGGAAUGGCCUCAGCAUCAAGAACAAACAAGGACAGAACAAAUAUACUCUCAAAAACAGGAGACGUUACCUGCCAGUCAGUACAACAUGACCUUCCAACCGGGGACGUCCGUACAGUUGCACUCUGGAGUACAUCACAGACCUGACAAACUCGCUGAGCAUUCUGCUGUCAAACAAGAAUAUUCUCAUAAGUCAGGAAACAAACACCAUGGACAAGCUGCUGCUCCCGUAAUAAUUCCUCAAAAAAUGUCUUUGGAUAAAUACAGAGAGAAGCGCAAACUUGAAACCCUUGAACUGGAUGUGAGAGAACACUACGUAGCAACCCCAGGCGAACAGCAGCACAAAAAACACACACAGCCCCAGCCAGGUGGCAGUUCCUCUGUUACAUCGCCUAUUAAAAUGAAAAUUCCUAUUGCAAACGCAGAGAAGCCUGAAAAACACUUGUCGGACAAGAAAGAAAAGGGUGGCUCGCUCAAACUCCGUAUACCAAUCCCUCCCACGGAAAAGGGUGCCAGUAAGGAGGAGCUGAAAAUGAAAAUUAAAGUUUCUUCCUCAGAAAGGCACAGCUCAUCGGACGAGGGCAGCGGGAAAAGUAAACAUUCGAGUCCCCACCUUAGCAAAGAGCAGAAGGAAAAACACAAAGAACACUCUUUAAAUCGCCACCACGGCAUCGGUCACAAGCACGCCCACGUGCACGGUGGUGGCGGCGGCGGUGGCGGCAGUAAGCAUAGUGCUGAUGGAGUGACACCAACUGUUCUGAGGAGUCCCGUUGGCCUGAGUAGCGAUGGCAAUUCCUCUAGUUCCGGCUCUUCGAGAAAGAAGUUGCACAGCAACGAUGCUUCUCACAACCACCACUCCAAAAUGAGCAAAAGUUCCAAAAGUUCAGGUGGGCUACGGACAUCUCAGCACCCUCGUGAAACUGGACAAGAAACCAGUGGAGAACGGUCCUGAUGCCCAUCACCAGUACAGUACAAACAGCCAGCAUAUGGACUACAAAGAUACAUUCGACAUGCUGGAUUCGCUGUUAAGUGCCCAAGGAAUGAACAUGUAGUCAAUUCUUAGGUUGUUUUUCUUUACUUUUUUAAUUUAAGAAUUGUUAGAAUGGAAAACUUUCCUAAUACAGUAGCAGCAACGCCAGCUGUUGCUGCGCUGGUUUCAGUAUAUAUAAGUGCUGCUUUAUCCUUCACUCUGAAAAGAAGAGGUCUAGUAAACACGUCUUUAUCUCCACAUACGAUAGUGUUAUAAGUACUGUAAUAGCAUGGAAGGUGCAAAAAUCUCUAUUUCUACAACUGCAGCUAAGAGCAGUAGAAUGACUGUCCGCUUUUAGGUGUAUAGGAUGCCUUGAGCAUUGAUUAUUUAUAAUUUUGAAUACUGCAGCCACAACUUUUUGUUGCGUAGUUUUUGGAUGAGUGUAUUUGUUUUCCUGUGUAUUUAUACUGUAUGUAUGAUUUGCAUGUUUCAAAGAUAAAGGGAUUAAAAACAGUAUACUGACAACUGUUUACAAGAAAGUGGAGAAAAAUGUACAUACAUUUUUGUAUGUUUAGAUAUACCAUAAAUACUCAGGAUUGGAGCUGCUUGUAAGUAUAACAAAAUACACAUAACUUUAUUUUAUCUUGCCAGAGUCCAUCAGUAUCCAAACCAAGAUGGCACUUUGUCUUCUUUAUCUUUAAACUGUAGGCCUUAUUGGAAGCCGCUUAAAGGGGACACUUCACUAGAGAAGGUGUUCGGUACCACGUAGGGUCAGCACUGGGCAGUAUUAGCAGGGAGGCAGGGAAUUGGGUAGGCCUCUGCUCCCUCCUUAUGGCCAGACCUUGCAAAUGUCCCUUCUUUUCUGAAGGAAAAAAGGGAAUUAAAAUAAAAGUUUACAUAAUCUCUUGAUGUGAAGUGCAUUUAAAUGUUUAUUGGCUUGAUGCAGUAAAAUAGACACAGAGCUGUUAAUAAUGGUUAUGUAGAUUAAUGUGACUUAACUGCAGUUCGUAACUGUCAUUGUGGAAAAAGUCAUCUUUAAAAAAAAGUCAUAAAUUAUUUUAAUAGUUAACCGGGGGUCACUGUUUCCAUUACCAUUUCAGAAUAAUACACACGUUCUGAAAUCCAAAAAGUGUACUUGUGUGUGAUGCCAUAUUUCUUUUACAGGUGAAUGCAGUCUUCACAGUAAAUAAGAAUUAAACUUGAUAUCCCAACUUUAUAUUCUGACAAUAAAAUAGUUAUCAUUGAUUCUGUGUAUUGUACUUGUCAUCAGUUACCAAAUUGGAAGAUACUUGUUCUGUUUUUUCAGCUCUGUGGGGGUUAAAAAUGAUCAGUCUCCCAGUUAAGCCACUGGCAUGUUUUAGCUGCCUGCGGUGUCAGUGCGGUGGCUUGUGCGCUCUUCCCAGGGUGUGUUGCUCUUCAGAAGAAGUGACAGGUGUGAAUGUUCGUGUGUUCUCAAAGCCAAUACUCCAGAUAACCGUGACCUGACUUCCUGGGUUGUCACUCCAGACUCAUAAGCUAUGAAGUACCUCAACAUGAACUCAGUAGGCAGUAGCAACAGUAGGUUUUCAGUGACUUCUUUUAACGUAGAAGUGAACACGAUGUGAAGUAACGUUUUGCUAAGCCACCUCAUUCCCUUCAUGCCCGUGUAAUUUUGUAUGUCUCGGACGUUACACCUGAAGCUCAGCCCUUCAGUUGCGUUACUCACGUGUGCUUUAAAUGACAAAACUGUUCCGUAUCUACUCGGUUGGUAGUUGCUGUAUUAUGUAACUACAGGUAUAUCAAUUACUAUGUAAUACUCUCUUUCCAGUAAUGCACACUUGUACCUACUUGAAUAAGUAUUAUUUGAACUAUGGAUACUUUUUUUACACUUAAGGAAUAUUUAAAUGGACACACGAUCACAUUUUCUGCUAAAUCUAAGCUUAAAUCUUGGCUCAUGUACAAAAUCUGAAGUUGUCUUAUCCCUACCGACUUGGUUAUUUUUCUACAUUUGGAUUGUAACUUCUUGUUACAUACUUCUGCAUUGUUGAAUAUUUUCUAUCCUUUUAUAGUCUGUUUCCUUUCCAUCUCAGCGCUACUCUUGGGUCUGAUUUUUAACAUAUGUAAUCUCUGUUAUAUACUGUCCAAAACUAUAGCGUGGGCAGACAGAUGAAAUAGCAGUAAAUGGUCUUAAUCUUUCUUUGAAGCACUACAGUACUUUCUUUUUGAGUCUGUUGAAAUAGCUGUGCCAUGAAAUGCAUCUUAUACAGCCACUCUGGAUAAGCAAUAUAUUGUACUGUAAAUAUAGCAAUUGCUGUCAUAACUUGGAUUUAAAGUGUCUGGAUGGUAACUAGUGCCUGUCUGAUAUAAACUGGAAAAGAGCAUAGGCCUUCGUCCUAAGGUGCUGUUUCAAAAGAAAUGUUUCCUAUUUUGAUUCCGGGAAAUUGUGAAAUAUCAUGGAUAAAAUGUUGCUAUUUUACAUUGAGAUCCAAACAGUGAUAUUUUUUGGUUUCUCUGUAAAGGAUGUCCAUAGACCUCGUCGGUUUUGGUUUUCAAUGUGAUUGUAAAUACAUGAAACUCUGUGUCUUGUGUCUGAAUCUAAAUUCCACGUGGUGAUAACAGGGGUGGAGGGGGAGUUUCCCUGAUUGAAACCCACUGAGGGUCAAGGAAUGGGGCGAAUUGCAGCCUGGCUGAGCUGAUCACAAUUAACGGGAUCAGCCUCACACGUGAAUGACUGAAUAAAUGCAAUAAACAGCUAAUAGACAACACUAUUACUCUGUUCAUCGCUUUGAUUACAGAUUUUUUUUUUCAUUGUUAUAAAUUUGAGCACAUGCAUUAUGUAAAUUGUAAAAUGAUGCUGUAGUGGAGACCUUGCUACAACACUAUUAAAAAUCUUCCCUUUUUGUGAGAUAGGAGGUUUGUAGAAUAGUGAGAUUCUUUCGUACGUCGAAUCUUAAUCUGUUCCUAAUGGUGGGAGUGUUGAAGUAAUGUUAUCUCACUGUGACCUGGUACUUUGGUAUUUGCAUAAAAUGGCAGUUCUGUAUACUCUUUUGGCUAACUGUAAAUAUAAAUGUUUUAUAUUAGCAUAGUUGAAUUUUUGAGGUACAGCCAUUUGUGUGAGAUUAGGAAAAACAACUUUAUUUCUAAGAACUUGUACAAAAAACUAUUUUCAAUAAAAUUCCCUACCUCA
RNA transcript from Columba livia (rock pigeon), 5565 nucleotides. It is a transcript of the gene named cyclin T2, with no coding region annotated. The record is from RefSeq and is a predicted model, not a curated record. The transcript has 10 exons. Lineage: Eukaryota; Metazoa; Chordata; Aves; Columbiformes; Columbidae.